This 486-nucleotide ribosomal RNA is filed under the name uncultured bacterium. RNAcentral describes it as "bacterial SSU rRNA". It matches the Rfam family "Bacterial small subunit ribosomal RNA", at positions 30 to 509 of the family's 1533-position model. The record is from RNAcentral.
UGAACGCUGGCGGCGUGCUUAACACAUGCAAGUCGAGGGGCAGCGCGAGGUAGCAAUACUUUGGCGGCGACCGGCGCAAGGGUGCGUAACGCGUGAGCAACUUGCCCGCAACAGGAGGAUAACCGGAGGAAACUCCGACUAAUACUGCGUAGCAACGGAUUGUGGCAUCACAGACCGUUUAAAGGCGAAAGCUGGUUGCGGAUAGGCUCGCGUGACAUUAGCUAGAUGGCGGGUAACGGCCCACCAUGGCGACGAUGUCUAGGGGUUCUGAGAGGAAGGUCCCCCACACUGGUACUGAGACACGGACCAGACUCCUACGGGAGGCAGCAGUGAGGAAUAUUGGACAAUGGUCGGAAGACUGAUCCAGCCAUGCCGCGUGAAGGCUAAGGUCCUAUGGAUUGUAAACUUCUUUUGUACGAGAGGAAUAAGGUGGACGUGUCCACCGAGGACAGUAUCGUACGAAUAAGCAUCGGCUAACUCCGUGCC